CGGUUUCCAGACAACAUCCAACCCAGUCACCAGACAGGAAGUUUGGUCAUAAUGAUCAUGACAGUCAUUACCAUUCUCUGCUUUGGAUCGCCCCUCCCCCCCACACCCCCUCCAAGCCCCUCACAGGAACCAGCCUAGCGAUGGGGCUUAUCCAUUAAUUAAAGGCUCCAAAGUGAAGACAACAAAAAUCCCCACACCAGCCACGGGAACAAUUCUUCCCUAAUAGAUGUCAAGUCGGCACCCUGAACACUGCACAGGAGUGCGGAGAUUUAUAGCAGAGAUGUCUAAUUACUCACCCAACGGGAGUCCUUCCACACCUCUGACAGGAAGUUUGUCUUCUGAAAGCAUGUGCCUAUUUUGUUCUCCAACAGCUCUGGUCCCCCGCCAGGACCCUGCAGGAGCUGCCCUGAUGUCAGAGAAGCCAGCGGAGCUUUCUGAUUACUGACAGGAUAUGUGAAAUAUUGGGACUUUGGGAAGGAGCACUGGACAGAGAGUCCAGGCCCAUGGGCCUGAGUAUUGCUCUAACUGAACAGCAGCUGUGGCAGGGGACUGGACCUCUUUGUUUUUCUCUUCUGUUAAACACUGCUGCUAACAUUUCAAGCUUCCAGCGCAUGGUGAUCUGCCUCAGUCAAUAAAUUCUGACCAAAGCCA
This is a long non-coding RNA of Peromyscus eremicus (cactus mouse), 651 nucleotides long. RefSeq lists it as uncharacterized. The transcript has 2 exons. NCBI's taxonomy places the organism in Eukaryota, Metazoa, Chordata, Mammalia, Rodentia, Cricetidae. The record is from RefSeq and is a predicted model, not a curated record.